UACGAAGGGGGGCUAGCGUUGCUCGGAAUCACUGGGCGUAAAGGGUGCGUAGGCGGGUCUUUAAGUCAGGGGUGAAAUCCUGGAGCUCAACUCCAGAACUGCCUUUGAUACUGAGGAUCUUGAGUUCGGGAGAGGUGAGUGGAACUGCGAGUGUAGAGGUGAAAUUCGUAGAUAUUCGCAAGAACACCAGUGGCGAAGGCGGCUCACUGGCCCGAUACUGACGCUGAUGCACGAAAGCGUGGGGAGCAAACAGG
This 254-nucleotide ribosomal RNA is filed under the name uncultured bacterium. RNAcentral's name for it is "partial 16S ribosomal RNA". It matches the Rfam family "Bacterial small subunit ribosomal RNA", at positions 524 to 776 of the family's 1533-position model. The record is from RNAcentral.